ACCUGGUGAAACAAGUCAUAAUAAGAGAUUGAAUAAAAAUGUAAUAAUAAUACAAAAUAAAAAAUUAAAUUCCAGUGUCUAGAUUUGUUUGAAUAAUUGAAAGAGAUAUACGAAGCAGCUUUAAAAAAAAAAAAAAAAAAGCAGAAUUGUCAGAUCCUGUCAAUCAUUAAGCACGGCUCCCUGAGCUGUGCAGUGCCUAGCCAGGCAGGCGGAGAGACAGGCCCCUCGCCACCACUCAAGCAUUUCAACUCCGUUACAGAGUAACCCGUGGGGGGAGUAGUCAUGGAAACCCACCUCAUUACGACAAAAUCUGAGAAAUAUAAGGCGAAGAGAGGGGCAAACACCUGCCAUUUCACAACAUAACUUUGCUAUAGUUUCUUAGAUCAGAUUUUAAAGUUGAAGAGGAGAACAAAAGAGGAGUCUUAGGUCUAGGUCUAAGAAAUGGAUGACCUUUCUGGAGUGCAGAAACUGUGGAUUUCAGUCUCAUAGACUUAAUCGAGAAGAAUAAGAGAACGAACGAGAUGAUGAGUCUGGACUUCAGAGGGAAAGGAAAGAUGGGCCAAAGCCAAGUGCAUGUUAUUUUACAACGGAAUGCUGUUAUACUGGGCUCUGUGGUCUGUUCUAAGGAUCAUUUCACUCGAAUUAUUGUUGCUGGGCUUUCAUAGCGUUGGAUUUACAAGAUUUGAAGAUUUGGGAAGUUUAUGCAUAUACUCUAUUAACGCUGAAUGAACUUAGCAGAAGCAGUUGAUACUUGCUGGAGACAUCAAGAACAUUUUGAAUUUGGUUUAAAAUGGGAAACAGCAACUCCAGACCAAAGAAUUGCCAAGUUGCACCAUCUCAGAAUCUUCUGGAAGAGGAGGAACCUGCCUGUCAACCAACCUCACCAUGGAUGAUCACUGCUGUGCAAGGUGAAGCAGACCAGCUGGAGGGAAUUCUGGGUCACCAGUGUACCAGUCAGCUGGCAGCACGAAAGCAGCACCUGCCUCGCAUUGUUCAUUCACUUCCAGGACAAAAGAUGGAGAGAUGGGGUUGUCCACCAGUUUUCCACACCCAGCAUGGAAGGUCACUGUGGUGCAGGCAGCAGCCAACAGACAGUCCAGACCUGCCAAGGAACCAAGAAGCAUCGGCUCCAGCAGAGGCAGAGGAGAUGGUGAAUAGUUUACACCUCCAGUGGAGGAAUUGA
RNAcentral lists this long non-coding RNA (1183 nucleotides) under Astyanax mexicanus (Mexican tetra). RNAcentral's name for it is "lncRNA (ENSAMXG00005024918.1)". Lineage: Eukaryota; Metazoa; Chordata; Actinopteri; Characiformes; Acestrorhamphidae. The record is from RNAcentral.